AAAACUCCAAAAAUUAUUUUUAAUAGAAAAAAUAGUGGUGUCGACCAUCUAGUCCCUAUAAUCCAAAUUUACUGUUCAUUUCAGGUCAUUUGGGUGAAUGUUUUUGUAACAGUCCGUUUUUCAAUAGUGUCGGAAACAGAAAUUUUGAGGCCACCAAAUCCAACGAGUAAGUUAAUAAAAAUUGUUAUUUAAUAUUUUACGAGUCAAAUAUGGUUUUAAAAAGGUUUUCAAUGCGAUUUAUUAAGUUCAAAUGGUAAGACCCUAAGGUCAAGUGGUUUUAGAAAAUGAGGUAUCGGGACCUCAUUUCUAUAAACCAAGCCAUAAAUAUUUUUAUAAAUAUUUACGGAGUGUCAUUAAAAUUCUAUUAAAGUUUCUUUGAAAAAUUUUAAUGUUUCGAUAGUUAAUUAAGUAAAAAGGAUUAAAUCGUAAAAAGUGUAAAAUGUUAUCACUAUUUAAUUAGAGUAAUUAAAUAGAUUAUUAAAUAAAGGUAAAUGGAUUUGAAUGGUAAAUAUACCAUUUUUAAAAGGUGUUGGACGGUUAAUGGGGUUGUUUAGUUAAAAGAAUGAUGAUUCAUUCAUCUUCUUCACCAUUGUUAGUUGAAACAAAAAGGGGGAGAAGCUUCAAGAUUCGGC
Molecule: long non-coding RNA, 632 nt
Filed under: Gossypium barbadense (sea-island cotton)
Lineage: Eukaryota; Viridiplantae; Streptophyta; Magnoliopsida; Malvales; Malvaceae
Description: long non-coding RNA (GBAR_LNC001597)
Source: RNAcentral